RNAcentral lists this transfer RNA (83 nucleotides) under Clostridiaceae bacterium. RNAcentral describes it as "tRNA-Leu". It matches the Rfam family "tRNA". Rfam says of the family: Transfer RNA (tRNA) molecules are approximately 80 nucleotides in length. Their secondary structure includes four short double-helical elements and three loops (D, anti-codon, and T loops). Further hydrogen bonds mediate the characteristic L-shaped molecular structure. tRNAs have two regions of fundamental functional importance: the anti-codon, which is responsible for specific mRNA codon recognition, and the 3' end, to which the tRNAs corresponding amino acid is attached (by aminoacyl-tRNA synthetases). tRNAs cope with the degeneracy of the genetic code in two manners: having more than one tRNA (with a specific anti-codon) for a particular amino acid; and 'wobble' base-pairing, i.e. permitting non-standard base-pairing at the 3rd anti-codon position. The record is from RNAcentral. Lineage: Bacteria; Bacillati; Bacillota; Clostridia; Eubacteriales; Clostridiaceae.
GCGGUCGUGGUGGAAUUGGCAGACACGUACGUUUGAGGGGCGUAUGGGCGACCAUGUGGGUUCAAGUCCCACCGUCCGCACCA